GUGCUGAAUAUAUAGCUCAGUUGCUUCGAGCACGGUCCUGAUAAGACCAAGGUUGCAGGUUCGAUCCCUUCUUGGGACA
Non-coding RNA from Podarcis lilfordi (Lilford's wall lizard), 79 nucleotides. NCBI's taxonomy places the organism in Eukaryota, Metazoa, Chordata, Lepidosauria, Squamata, Lacertidae. The record is from the annotation of a GenBank genome assembly.